AAUAGAUGACACCGUUGAUUUUUUCUCACAUGUUUGAUCAUUCGUCUUAUUCAAAAAAUUUAUGUAAUUAUAAUUUAUUUUGUUAUGAGUUCUUUUAUCACUUAUAGUACUUUAAGUUUGAUUUAUAUCUUACAUAUUUGAAAAAAAAUUUGAAUAAAACGAAUGGUUAAACAUGUGAGAAAAAAUAAAUGGCGUUAUCUAUU
RNAcentral lists this microRNA precursor (203 nucleotides) under Oryza barthii. RNAcentral describes it as "MIR812 microRNA precursor family". It matches the Rfam family "MIR812 microRNA precursor family". Lineage: Eukaryota; Viridiplantae; Streptophyta; Magnoliopsida; Poales; Poaceae. The record is from Rfam by way of RNAcentral.